GAAAACUUUAAACUUCGCUAUAAUACCUGCCCCAAGACUUAUAUUAAUCAUUUUUUCAAGAUGUCUGCAAUAGCAAACGUAUCUUUUUUGUUUUUAGUUACCUUCAUCCACCAGAGUUCUGGUUCCUGUGUCCGUCAUGGCAUGGACUUCUGGGGAGCGGACCUGUGGAAUUUUAGUCCUUCCACCUUUGACAGUUGCACAAAUUUGUGUAAAGCAGCCACGUCCUGCAAAGCUAUUACUUACCAACCUUCCUCCAAAACAUGCUGGCUCAAGUACCGAAGAGGAGGAAACCAUGGUCCUUCUCUAGUACCAGGACUGAUCAGCGCUAACAUGAACUGCGAGUACAAGAGAGACCAGAGCUGUGCUAAACACAGCGUGGACUACGGGGGAGCAGACUUGGGUCACAGGACAGCGACCACAUUGGACCAGUGCGAGCAGUUCUGUCGAGAUACAGAGAGGUGUGUGUCUCUCACAUUCAGGGCAUCUUCCAGGAGCUGCUGGCUGAAGCAUCGCAAGAGUGGAGCCAGAGGACCGAGCACUGUGCACGGCCUUGUAAGUCUCAACAUGGAGUGCCCCCCAUCUGGAACGCAAACUUCCGGAUGUGUACACAACGACAUAGAUUUCUGGGGAGCUGACUUGAUUAAUCUAACAACGGAUCGAUACAGUGUAAGCAAAUGUGAGGGAUUCUGUAGGGAAGAGCCUCGCUGUGUUUCCUUUACUUACCGGAGUUCUGAUGGACAUUGCUGGCUGAAGGGUCAGCAGUACGGAGCGAGGGGACCAAGCCAUGCUGUGGGACUCAUCAGCAUGAACAUGAACUGUUCAAAAUAAACACUACUAGCUAGAAAAUGUAGAGUUGGAUAUGUUUAUUCAGCGAAUUUGAGAAAGUUUUAAGUUUUAAGGGUUUUUUAAAGGUUUUUAGUUUCGAAAUGACGAUUGCCUUUAUAUUUCGGUUUCAGCUUAACCCCCUAAGUCAUUAGUUGAACCGAAAGAUCAAAAUAUAUGUUGCUUGUUGCUCGUAUUAACUGUAAAACAUCAAUUUCGAGUGAUAA
Molecule: long non-coding RNA, 1049 nt
Organism: Bolinopsis microptera
Lineage: Eukaryota; Metazoa; Ctenophora; Tentaculata; Lobata; Bolinopsidae
Exons: 2
Source: RefSeq, a predicted model, not a curated record